GUAAAAGCUUUGCCAAAUGAGGGAUAUUCUUCAAAAUGAUAGAUCUCACACUGCCUGCGAAGUAAAAUGAUUUCAGCCUAGGAGCAUUAAUUUCGAUGAGGUUGCUGUAAGUCUCGGCAAUAUACAACACCAAAUGCUCGAGCAACAAGCAAUGAGAGAUCAAACUUCCCAGAUCCUCGGAAGAAAUUGAAACUUCACAUAGUUCCAACCUAAUUAACCUAUCAAGUCCUUUGAAGGUCGGUGGACGAACUAUUGAGCAAUUCUGGAGAUUCAAAUUCUUCAAGUGCAAGCUUUUGAAAAAUGAAGGUGGCAAUUCAUAUGGUUCACUCUUGAAUGGAAGUUUAAGCACAAGAUCCCGAAUGCCAUUUUUCGCAAGGAAAUAUAUCAAGUCAUCGAUCAUAGGACAACUUCUCGACUUGGGAACACAGAGAGUAAAC
This 437-nucleotide unclassified non-coding RNA is filed under the name Hevea brasiliensis (rubber tree). The record is from RNAcentral. Lineage: Eukaryota; Viridiplantae; Streptophyta; Magnoliopsida; Malpighiales; Euphorbiaceae.